This 468-nucleotide ribosomal RNA is filed under the name uncultured Streptococcus sp. Its description in RNAcentral is "bacterial SSU rRNA". It matches the Rfam family "Bacterial small subunit ribosomal RNA", at positions 917 to 1381 of the family's 1533-position model. The record is from RNAcentral. Lineage: Bacteria; Bacillati; Bacillota; Bacilli; Lactobacillales; Streptococcaceae.
AAUGACGGGGCCGCACAAGCGGUGGAGCAUGUGUUAAUUCGAAGCAACGCGAAGAACCUUACCAGGUCUUGACAUCCCGAUGCUAUUUCUAGAGAUAGAAAGUUACUUCGGUACAUCGGUGACAGGUGGUGCAUGGUUGUCGUCAGCUCGUGUCGUGAGAUGUUGGGUUAAGUCCCGCAACGAGCGCAACCCCUAUUGUUAGUUGCCAUCAUUCAGUUGGGCACUCUAGCGAGACUGCCGGUAAUAAACCGGAGGAAGGUGGGAUGACGUCAAAUCAUCAUGCCCCUUAUGACCUGGGCUACACACGUGCUACAAUGGUUGGUACAACGAGUUGCGAGUCGGUGACGGCGAGCUAAUCUCUUAAAGCCAAUCUCAGUUCGGAUUGUAGGCUGCAACUCGCCUACAUGAAGUCGGAAUCGCUAGUAAUCGCGGAUCAGCACGCCGCGGUCGAAUACGUUCCCGGGCCUU